UACGUAGGUGGCAAGCGUUAUCCGGAAUUAUUGGGCGUAAAGCUCGCGUAGGCGGUUUUUUAAGUCUGAUGUGAGAGCCCACGGCUCAACCGUGGAGGGUCAUUGGAAACUGGAAAACUUGAGUGCAGAAGAGGAAAGUGGAAUUCCAUGUGUAGCGGUGAAAUGCGCAGAGAUAUGGAGGAACACCAGUGGCGAAGGCGACUUUCUGGUCUGUAACUGACGCUGAUGUGCGAAAG
Molecule: ribosomal RNA, 236 nt
Filed under: uncultured Staphylococcus sp.
Lineage: Bacteria; Bacillati; Bacillota; Bacilli; Caryophanales; Staphylococcaceae
Description: partial 16S ribosomal RNA
Rfam family: Bacterial small subunit ribosomal RNA
Source: RNAcentral